This 244-nucleotide unclassified non-coding RNA is filed under the name air metagenome. Its description in RNAcentral is "partial contains small subunit ribosomal RNA, internal transcribed spacer 1, and 5.8S ribosomal RNA". The stretch from base 1 to 46 matches the Rfam family "Eukaryotic small subunit ribosomal RNA", at positions 1786 to 1831 of the family's 1831-position model. The record is from RNAcentral.
AAGUCGUAACAAGGUCUUCGUAGGUGAACCUGCGGAGGGAUCAUUGAUGAAUCAAAGAGGUUGAGGCACUUAGCCACUUCCUCUUCAUCACCACACACACUGUGCACUUUUCUUCAGUCUCAGGAACCUUGCCUUUCGGGGCAGGCUGUACUUUGACUGGAAAACUCUUGUGAAUGAAAACAGUUUUGGAUGUUCCAAUUUGAAAAAGUUAAAACAACUAUUAACGGUGGAUCUCUUGGCUCUC